This 93-nucleotide ribosomal RNA is filed under the name Verrucaria nigrescens. RNAcentral's name for it is "partial small subunit ribosomal RNA". It matches the Rfam family "Eukaryotic small subunit ribosomal RNA", at positions 1471 to 1563 of the family's 1831-position model. Lineage: Eukaryota; Fungi; Ascomycota; Eurotiomycetes; Verrucariales; Verrucariaceae. The record is from RNAcentral.
GUGUAGAUGUUCUGGGCCGCACGCGCGCUACACUGACAGAGCCAGCGAGUACAUCACCUUGGCCGAAAGGUCUGGGUAAUCUUGUGAAACUCU